UACAGCUCUUCUGCCUGUGACACUUCUAUAUAUGGUCAGCAAAGAUAUUUGCCGGGAUUUGCAUUUUUCCAAAAGUAAUCCCAGACAAUCAGAAGCUUGCUAAUCCGUAUAAAAAAAACCCACGCGAGAGGAUCCCUAGCCCUGCACACAUUAGCCCGUUCGGCUUUCUCCGCCCUGAGGCUUACACAGCGAAGGGAAUACGGCAAGCUCUGGUUUUCAGUGAAUACUCGGACGCUCCGGUGGGUGCGUUGGCAGCGCGCACCCUGCCCGCGGAUGCCUUCCCAAACUCCAGCUGCACGGCAGCCUGCAACCCCGUACAGCUGGAGGAACCUCACUGAUCCAGAAAGAGGGACACAACACGCACGAAUUUACCUGCUGUGUGGGACGCCCUGGAGGAUCCAGCCCAAGACACCAUGGGCAGGCCAGCCCUGGCAGAGAGCAGCGCUGCAAGAAAGUGAUAGCUUUCUCACUAAUGGAAAUUGAUUGAGUCCAGCUCUCAUAUAGAGAACACACUGAGGAAAUUCUUAAGCGGAAUAUCAAUCGAGCUGGAAAAGAUACCUCACACUGCAACAGAGACAAAUCAACACUGUGCCAAUUCUUGCAAUUCCAGAGCAACUCCACCUUUAUGAUGCAGGCAAUAUUUUUUUGUCAUUGACCUGGAAAUUUUUCUGAGAGAUGUGUUUGCUGCUCCUUCUUAUAUUAAAUAAUUCACUUUCCAUUAUUUUUGUUAGAAACAAUGAAAAAAACCUAGAGUAGUGUUUUGAAAGUGUAGUGACUUGCAC
This 782-nucleotide long non-coding RNA is filed under the name Calidris pugnax (ruff). RNAcentral's name for it is "lncRNA (ENSCPUG00000004374.1)". The record is from RNAcentral. Lineage: Eukaryota; Metazoa; Chordata; Aves; Charadriiformes; Scolopacidae.